Molecule: ribosomal RNA, 254 nt
Filed under: uncultured bacterium
Lineage: Bacteria
Description: partial 16S ribosomal RNA
Rfam family: Bacterial small subunit ribosomal RNA
Source: RNAcentral
UACAGAGGGUGCGAGCGUUAAUCGGAAUUACUGGGCGUAAAGGGUGAGUAGGUGGUUAGAUAAGUCGGAUGUGAAAGCCCUGGGCUUAACCUAGGAAUAGCAUACGAUACUGUUUUGACUAGAGUAUAGGAGAGGGGAGUGGAAUUUCCGGUGUAGCGGUGAAAUGCGUAGAUAUCGGAAGGAACACCAGUGGCGAAGGCGACUCUCUGGACUAAUACUGACACUGAGUCACGAAAGCAUGGGUAGCAAACAGG